GACCUCGAAUCAGGUGGGACUACCCGCUGAACUUAAG
This 37-nucleotide ribosomal RNA is filed under the name uncultured Basidiomycota. Its description in RNAcentral is "partial 28S ribosomal RNA". The record is from RNAcentral. Lineage: Eukaryota; Fungi; Basidiomycota.